RNAcentral lists this ribosomal RNA (392 nucleotides) under uncultured bacterium. Its description in RNAcentral is "bacterial SSU rRNA". It matches the Rfam family "Bacterial small subunit ribosomal RNA", at positions 29 to 424 of the family's 1533-position model. The record is from RNAcentral.
AUUGAACGCUGGCGGAAUGCUUUACACAUGCAAGUCGAGCGGCAGCGCGGGGCAACCUGGCGGCGAGCGGCGAACGGGUGAGUAACACAUCGGAACGUGCCCAGACGUGGGGGAUAGCCCGGCGAAAGCCGGAUUAAUACCGCAUACGAUCUAAGGAUGAAAGCGGGGGACUCGCAAGGGCCUCGCGCGUUUGGAGCGGCCGAUGGCAGAUUAGGUAGUUGGUGGGGUAAAGGCUUACCAAGCCUGCGAUCUGUAGCUGGUCUGAGAGGAUGAUCAGCCACACUGGGACUGAGACACGGCCCAGACUCCUACGGGAGGCAGCAGUGGGGAAUUUUGGACAAUGGGCGCAAGCCUGAUCCAGCCAUUCCGCGUGCAGGACGAAGGCCUCGGUU